Molecule: ribosomal RNA, 492 nt
Filed under: uncultured bacterium
Lineage: Bacteria
Description: partial 16S ribosomal RNA
Rfam family: Bacterial small subunit ribosomal RNA
Source: RNAcentral
GAUGAACGCUAGCUACAGGCUUAACACAUGCAAGUCGAGGGGAAACGACAUCGAAAGCUUGCUUUUGAUGGGCGUCGACCGGCGCACGGGUGAGUAACGCGUAUCCAACCUGCCCACCACUUGGGGAUAACCUUGCGAAAGUAAGACUAAUACCCAAUGACGUCUCUAGAAGACAUCUGAAAGAGAUUAAAGAUUCAUCGGUGAUGGAUGGGGAUGCGUCUGAUUAGCUUGUUGGCGGGGUAACGGCCCACCAAGGCGACGAUCAGUAGGGGUUCUGAGAGGAAGGUCCCCCACAUUGGAACUGAGACACGGUCCAAACUCCUACGGGAGGCAGCAGUGAGGAAUAUUGGUCAAUGGACGAGAGUCUGAACCAGCCAAGUAGCGUGCAGGAUGACGGCCCUAUGGGUUGUAAACUGCUUUUAUAAGGGAAUAAAGUGAGUCUCGUGAGACUUUUUGCAUGUACCUUAUGAAUAAGGACCGGCUAAUUCCGUG